This 276-nucleotide unclassified non-coding RNA is filed under the name uncultured fungus. Its description in RNAcentral is "partial contains 5.8S ribosomal RNA, internal transcribed spacer 2, and large subunit ribosomal RNA". The stretch from base 1 to 52 matches the Rfam family "5.8S ribosomal RNA", at positions 103 to 154 of the family's 154-position model. The record is from RNAcentral. Lineage: Eukaryota; Fungi.
AACGCAUAUUGCGCCCUCUGGUAUUCCGGAGGGCAUGCCUGUUUGAGCGUCAUUUCUCUCUCAAACCUUCGGGUUUGGUAUUGAGUGAUACUCUCUUCUGGGUUAACUUGAAAUACUGUGGCAAGAGCUGCUGUUGCAGAUCUCCUCUGAACUAACGUUUCUAGGUUCUACCAAUUCGUUAUGGGCAGUUGAAAUCGGUUUCGGCUUUUAGGCUCGGCCUUUACAAUAUCUCCUAAGUUUGACCUCAAAUCAGGUAGGAUUACCCGCUGAACUUAA